Molecule: ribosomal RNA, 486 nt
Filed under: uncultured bacterium
Lineage: Bacteria
Description: partial 16S ribosomal RNA
Rfam family: Bacterial small subunit ribosomal RNA
Source: RNAcentral
AUCGAACGCUGGCGGCAUGCCUAACACAUGCAAGUCGAACGGCAGCACGGGGGGUAACCCCUGGUGGCGAGUGGCGAACGGGAGAGUAAUAUAUCGGAACGUGUCCUGUAGCGGGGGCUAACCUAACGAAAGAUGGACUAAUACCGCAUACGACCUACGGGUGAAAGCGGAGGACCGCAAGGCCUCGCACUAUAGGAGCGGCCGAUAACGGAUUAGCUAGUUGGCGGGGUGACGGCCAACCAAGGGGACGAUCCGCAGCCGGACGGAGAGGACGGUCAGCCACACUGGAACUGAGACACGGUCCAGACUCCUGCGGGAGGCAGCAGUCGGGAAUUUUAGGCAAUGGGCGCGAGCCUGAUCCAGCCAUGCCGCGUGAGUGAAGACGGCCUUGCGGUUGUAAAGCUCUUUCGGCGGGGGCGAACCGGUUCGUGCUAAUACCACGGGCUACUGACGGUACCCGCAGAAGAAGCACCGGCUAACUACGUG